Rickettsia bellii RML369-C is the source of this 59-nucleotide non-coding RNA. The record is from Rfam. Lineage: Bacteria; Pseudomonadati; Pseudomonadota; Alphaproteobacteria; Rickettsiales; Rickettsiaceae.
UAGCUCAGUUGGUUAGAGCGUCUGCCUGUCACGCAGAAGGUUGCGGGUUCGAGUCCCGU